RNAcentral lists this long non-coding RNA (750 nucleotides) under Homo sapiens (human). RNAcentral describes it as "non-protein coding MIR663AHG:1". The record is from RNAcentral. Lineage: Eukaryota; Metazoa; Chordata; Mammalia; Primates; Hominidae.
GCAUGCGGGAGGCACGAGCCCAUUCUCCCGUGACGGUGACUCCAACGGUUGGCUGAGGACGAUUCCCUGAGCCUUGACAAAGCAGGAGCCCUCCGUGGCGGUGCGUCGGUGUCGAGGCUCCAGUCUGACUAAUCCAGGGGGUCGACAAAACAGAUUCGGGACACUAUGCUACACGGAGGGCCUACCAGGAUGCAGAAACAGCAGACGGAGUCCAGGGAAAGCAGUGCGGCAUCCCAGCCUCAGGCCUGCCCGUACGGUGUUCGGAAAUACUAGGCUUUAGAAUUUCACCAUAUGAAUUUUGGGAGAGAGGAGCACAGUUCAGCCCAUAACUAACACACGACGGAAUGAAGUUGAUAAUAGUGAGACCUUGUUGGUACAAGACUAUGUAACAUAACCUGCGCUUCUCAACAAAGAAUUGCUUUUCUGACUUCUGCACUCAAUAGCAAGACAAAUCUCUCCUCUGCCUUCUCCUUAUCAGACUACUCAACAUGAAGGCAAUAAGAAUGAAGACCUCUAUGUAUAAUAAUUGACUUCCACUUAAUAAAUAAGGUUACUUGGUACACUGGUCGACAAAACCUUGAAAUGUUGAUGUUUAAGGGCUGUUGAUUGCUGGCAGCAAAGAAGUCCAACUGUGCUGGUACCCGAGAUAGCGUCUCCACAUUUUCUUCCAGGAUCAUCACCUUUGUUCUAAAUAGCUCCCACAUAGUGUGAACAGAAGUCAUAUGUUUUAGAUUUUCUGCCUUGGCACCC